This is a long non-coding RNA of Cajanus cajan (pigeon pea), 514 nucleotides long. RefSeq lists it as uncharacterized. NCBI's taxonomy places the organism in Eukaryota, Viridiplantae, Streptophyta, Magnoliopsida, Fabales, Fabaceae. The record is from RefSeq and is a predicted model, not a curated record.
GUUCAUCAUUCCAUGCAAGUGUUGUCUCCAUACAUUAAUUUUCUCAUCUUCUCAGACAUACAAACAUGAAAAUUCUUUGGUUUCUUCAACUCCUGUUCUGCCUAGCGCUGCUUCUCAUCAAUCCCUCUGUUGCUCCCAAUGCUCCAGCUCCUCCUUCAGGUGGUGACUUGGAUGUGCCAGAAAGACGCCCUGCACCGCCACGCAAGAUCUCUGGUUCACGCCCAUGAACAAUUUCUUCCUAAGCUUAUAUAUAUACAUGUCAUAUACACUUUGGUUCUUCUAUUGUAUGUAUCUGUAUUUCUUUGCUUCUAAAUUAACCUUAGUUUUCUGCUUGGGAUGACCAGAAAUAAGCCAAGUCCUACUCCAAUGUUUUUGGUUAUAUAUGUAUAAUAUAUGCUUUGAUCUUUCUUCUUGGGUAAUAAUAUACCUCCAGUUAAAUAGUAAUGCAUUCUGCUGGUAGACAUUGAAAAUCAUUCAGAUAGCAACGGAAAUAUAUCAGUUCCUACUUCCCUGA